UCCACGCCCUAAACGAUGAUCUCUCGCUAUUCGGAGUAUCGACCCUCUGAGUGGCUUAGCUAACGCGUUAAGAGAUCCGCCUGGGAAGUACGGCCGCAAGGCUAAAACUCAAAGGAAUAGACGGGGACUUGCACAAGCAGUGGAUUAUGUGGUUUAAUUCGAUGGUAAACGAAGAACCUUACCAAGGUUAGAAAUCCUAAUGAAAUCCUUUAGAAACAUUGGACCUCGCAAGACAUUAGGACAGGUGAUGCAUGGCCGUCGUCAGUUCGUGGUUUGAAUUGUUCCCUUAAGUGGGGUAACGAACGCAACCCUCGUUGUGUGUUACAAGUGUCACACGAUACUGCCCCCGCCAAAGAACAUAAUUAUCAAUUAUCAAUUACGAAUUACGAAUGAAAAUACAAAUAAAAAAAUGUGUUUAAAUUCGUAAUUCGUAAUUCGUAAUUUUUAAUUGUUUUUUUCGGCGGGGGAGGAAGGAGAGGAUGACGCCAGGUCAGCAUGUCCCUUGAUACCUUGGGCUACACACAUAAUACAAUGGCCGUUACAACGCGCAGCGACGAGGCGACUCUGAGCUAAUCGUCCAAAAGCGGCCCCAGUUCGGAUUGGAGUCUGCAACUCGACUCCAUGAAGUUGGAAUUGCUAGUAAUCACAGGUCAGCUAAACUGUGGUGAAUACGUUCUCAAGUCUUGUACUCACCGCCCGUCAAGUCAAGGGAGCCGGGAGUACCCGAAGUCUCUACAUAAGUAGGGCCUAAGGUAAGCUCGGUGACAGGGACUAAGUCGUAACAAGGCACGGCUAGCGGAAGCUGGUCGUGGAAUAAUUCAAUU
This is a non-coding RNA of Candidatus Nomurabacteria bacterium CG1_02_31_12, 824 nucleotides long. The record is from Rfam. NCBI's taxonomy places the organism in Bacteria, Candidatus Nomuraibacteriota.